Molecule: ribosomal RNA, 465 nt
Filed under: uncultured bacterium
Lineage: Bacteria
Description: partial 16S ribosomal RNA
Rfam family: Bacterial small subunit ribosomal RNA
Source: RNAcentral
GAUGAACGCUGGCGGCGUGCUUAACACAUGCAAGUCGAACGGAAAGGCUCCUGCUUGCAGGGGUACUCGAGUGGCGAACGGGUGAGUAACACGUGGGUGAUCUGCCCUGCACUUCGGGAUAAGCCUGGGAGGCUGGGUCUAAUACCGGAUAGGACCACAUUUUGGAUGGUGUGGUGGAAAGUUUUUCGGUGUGGGAUGAGCUCGCGGCCUAUCAGCUUGUUGGUGGGGUAAUGGCCUACCAAGGCGUCGACGGGUAGCCGGCCUGAGAGGGUGUACGGCCACAUUGGGACUGAGAUACGGCCCAGACUCCUACGGGAGGCAGCAGUGGGGAAUAUUGCACAAUGGGCGCAAGCCUGAUGCAGCGACGCCGCGUGGGGGAUGACGGCCUUCGGGUUGUAAACUCCUUUCGCUAGGGACGAAGCGCAAGUGACGGUACCUGGAGAAGAAGCACCGGCUAACUACGUG